RNAcentral lists this ribosomal RNA (504 nucleotides) under uncultured bacterium. RNAcentral describes it as "bacterial SSU rRNA". It matches the Rfam family "Bacterial small subunit ribosomal RNA", at positions 19 to 518 of the family's 1533-position model. The record is from RNAcentral.
CUGGCUCAGGAUGAACGCUAGCGGCAGGCCUAAUACAUGCAAGUCGUACGGUAAACGCCUUCGGGGUGUGAGAGUGGCGGACGGGUGCGUAACGCGGUAUGCAACCAGCCCCCCUCGCCGGGAUAGCCGGUGGAAACGCCGGAUAAUACCGGAUGUUCCCUCGGGGAGGCAUCGUUCCCGGGGGCAAGGCGGAGACGCGGAGGGGGACGGGCAUGCGUGCCAUUAGAUAGUCGGCGGGGUGACGGCCCACCGAGUCUACGAUGGCUAGGGGAUCUGAGAGGACGGUCCCCCACACUGGUACUGAGACACGGACCAGACUCCUGCGGGAGGCAGCAGUAAGGGAUAUUGGGCAAUGGGGGCAACCCUGACCCAGCCAAUGCCGCGUGAGGGAAUGAGGCCCUACGGGUCGUGAACCUCUUUUAUUCGGGGACAAUGGCGGCGUCGCGAACGCCGUUUGAGGGUACCGAAGGAAUAAGCGUCGGCUAACUCCGUGCCAGCCGCCGC